This 118-nucleotide ribosomal RNA is filed under the name Pogona vitticeps (central bearded dragon). Lineage: Eukaryota; Metazoa; Chordata; Lepidosauria; Squamata; Agamidae. The record is from RNAcentral.
GUUGGGAACCACAGGUCUAAACACACCUGGAACUCUUCAGAUUUCAGAAGCUAUGCAGUGUUGGGCCUGGUUUGUAUCUGGAUGGGAUACACCCAGGAAAUAUCUGAGAUCUCCAUGC